Molecule: long non-coding RNA, 97 nt
Filed under: Jaculus jaculus (lesser Egyptian jerboa)
Lineage: Eukaryota; Metazoa; Chordata; Mammalia; Rodentia; Dipodidae
Description: HOXA11 antisense RNA 1 conserved region 1 (ENSJJAG00000005622.1)
Rfam family: HOXA11 antisense RNA 1 conserved region 1
Source: RNAcentral
GUCACUCGGUGUUCUCACCGAAAGCACGUAAUCGCCGGUGUAACUCAUGUUGGCUGGGGGGCCUCCCGGCGCGCCCGAGAGCCUGGGGUGCGCCCCC